Long non-coding RNA from Patella vulgata (common limpet), 1653 nucleotides. RefSeq lists it as uncharacterized. Lineage: Eukaryota; Metazoa; Mollusca; Gastropoda; Patellidae. The transcript is spliced from 3 exons. The record is from RefSeq and is a predicted model, not a curated record.
UUUUUAAAAAUAUAUUCAAAAAGAAUGCGUCUUUUACAGAUUUCAAUAUAACCACAAAUGGUUGAUUGUUUUAAUGCUAAGAUAAGUAUUAAUGGUUUGUAUUUGAAAAUCAAAUUAUAUAAGCGAAAAAUAGUAAGAUACAUUAUGUAUAUCUUAAAACACGCCCUUCUCAGUUACUACUUCGGCGAAUAUCGUUUGAUAAUUUAGAUGAUCAGAAUUAAACACCGUUUUGCUAUGUUAUUAUUUUUUUAUGAUUGGGUGGGGGUAUACUUAAUUAGGGGAUUGGAUUGAAAGAUUAUAGCUACCAUCUUAUGGAGACAUAAUGUGUGGUGCAUUUACGGUCUUAUAAAGCUCUAUUCUUACAUAAAGAAUUCUUGAUUCGCACGGAAGUGUUUUAGCCGUGAUCAUUUUAAGUCAUGCUUAUGCCAAGAUCUGGGCAACAGAAUGUUAAUUGUAAAUGUGGGCGGUGUACAGUCAAGGUUGAAUGUAGCUGUAAAGAUUGCAACGGGUUUCUCUGCUGUCGUACUGAUGAGAACGCAGUCUGUGUUACCGGAAUGGAUUUUUUUUGUGAAUGAAUGCUUAAAUGCGUCGGCCCUAGAUAUACUUCAUAAAGAAUAUGAAACAGACGGGCCCUAGAUAUACUUCAUAAAGAAUAUGAAACAGACGGGCCCUAGAUAUACUUCAUAAAGAAUAUGAAACAGACGGGCCGCAACCUGGAAGACAUGUAAACGAGCAAUACCGUUACACAGCUUAUCGCCAUUUCGUCAAGCAAGUCUAUGGUAUCCUUGGAUGGGGUAAUAGAGUGGAUAUACCUACUUGUGUUUACAGGGCCAUCCACGCUACCUUCCCUUUACCAUAUUAGAAUACACAGUCAACACAUUUUAUUAAAUUUUAUAAAACGAUAUCAUAAUGUUGUCACCUAAUUACAAAAAUCUUAGUGAUUUAUGUUUAAUUAAACUCCACCAAUCUAUAUAAAUAUAAACUUUGAAAGAUGAAUGACAUUUUAUAUACGCGAAUCGCCAUUUGCAAUUAUCGGAUAUUUAUCUAAUUUGUAAAUAAAAAGUAUUUUAAAACAUCUCCGCUCAACAGCAGUACAUAAACAGACAUAAGGUAGAAAGGAGAGGUCGUUUCGUCAACUUUAUAACGUUUUAAAUAUAUUUUAAUGUCGACUCUCUCCAGCAUCCAGCAUCUACAUAGCUCUGCUACUCUUUACAUUGCGUUCCCCCUCGUUUCCUGACUUGCUAUUAUGAUGUUAUUUGUAAUUUAGUAGCAACACUAGGUGAAUUGAAUCCGAAAUCAUCAUGUGUGAUGUCUAAUUAAAAUUUUUAACAGAAGUUUCAAAUUUCUUAAAUUGUAUUCCAUUAUAAACUGUUCACUGCGCUACUGUUCCUAUUGAUGAAAGAUCGAAACAGUGCCACGAGAAAUCAAAUUUAAUCUAUUUGUGCUUGUAACAUUCUUUAAAAUUGUAUUAUUUAUUCAAUUUGUGCUUGUAAAAUUUGAUUUAUUUUCAAAAAUCUAAACUACAUUGCUUUAAUAGCCCAGGGCCCGGUUUCACGAAAUUUUAACUAAAAAUAAAAUACAAAUUUUAGUAGAUACUUCAAUUUUGAUUAGCUAAGCACUAAAAUCAGUCUAAUAUUAUCCAAUCAAAUUACU